GCCGACUGCAAAGCCAGGGAAGGAAGUCAGACUGACAAACGACCUGAGGAGACUGAACGAAAUUGUUGAAGAUAUAGACACAGACAUUCCAAAUCCCUACAUCCUGUUAUGAAACUUGACACCAAAUCACAAGAUCUUCACGGUAAUUGACUUAUGCUCGGCAUUUCACAGUGUAAGGCUUUCCCCCGACAGCCAACACCUGUUUGGAUUUAAAUACGGGCACAAACACUUCAAAUAUCUCAGGCGGCCUCAGGGUCUUAAAAUAACACCAGCCAAUUCUAACAAUCUUUUAAGAAAAGACUUGAAACAGAUCAAAGAAAAAACCAACAGCACAAUCUUAAUCUACUGCGAUGACAUUUUGGUUGCUGCACAGGACAGAGAAACAUGCCACAAGGACUCAAUCACGCUUUUAACCCACUUAGCCGAAGGGGGACAUAGAGCAUCACUGGCGAAAUUACAGUACUGCCAAGGAAAAGUUGAAUACUUAGGCAGGCGGAUUUCACAGGGAGAAAAAGCCACACCCCCUUCACAGAUCGAAGCAAUUACAAAAAUGCCAAAGCCGAGAACAGUUAAAGAAAUGAUGACGUUUCUAGGAAUGGCAGCAUACAAUUUAGACUGGAUCGAUAAGUGCACAGUCAUUAUUAAACCAUUGAGAGACCUCAUAAAAGAAGAAGAUGUUCGUAAUCCAAAACAUCCUUGUGUGUCACUGGGUAUUUUAGACGUUGAGUUCUUUGGGAUUAAGUUAAGUUGGAGUGUUUGUGUUAGAGCUGGGCUAGGUUAACGUUUUAUGUUGUGACAACAGUCACCUUAGUUAUGGAUCUGCUUCUUUUAUUUGGUUUUUAGCUCACCACCAAGUGGCGGUUGGGUUUCAUUACACUCGGUGUGUGUUUGAUAUAGGGUUUAGUUGUUCUUUUUGCAGGUCCGCUAACCCCAGCUCAUCUUUUAUUUUAAAGGUGGUCAUUCAGUAUCAGGGGAAAUGUACAUGAGAAGGGCUUUUAUUUUAACUUACCAUCUAUCUAUACCCCUGAGUCGGGUCGUACAGCAAUACAGACGACACCAACAAUAGCAAUAGCAGAUUAUAACAUGCCAUUUUGGGCUAUGCGCCUCAUGACGGAACAAUCAUGCAUGCAGAGUCCUAGUACAAAAUAGGAUAGGCAAGAGUACACAAUACAUAACCUAUUACGCAAUAGCUCUGUCACCAGUAGAAAUCGGACUCCCAACAGGUUGUAUACAACUGGCAGCAGUACAUCUGAUCUAUGGGAAAAAGCCUAGGUUAUUACCAGGGGGUACAGGGUAGAUUAAUUAAAGAUCCGAUUUAGAAGCUAAAGAGUUAUACUGGGCACAUGAGAAACUUUUCAUGGAUGGCUCAUGCCACAGAACAUUAAAAGGUUGGCAUCGGGAUGUGCUGUGGUCCGACACGACCCUCAAACAAACAGGUUCAAGGUUCAGAAGCGCGAAAAGCUCCACAACUAUGCUCCGCGUAAAAAGCAGAACUUAAAGCGUUAAUCCGAGCAUGCGAACUAGCAGAGGGGAAACAAGUAACGAUGUACACGAACUCCGCGUACUGCCACUCCAUUGUACAGUUGUUCACAGAAAUGUGGAAGAACCGCGGCUUCCAAAGAUCCGACGGGACAUCUGUACAACACGCGGAAGAAAUUAAUUUAAACUAAUGAAACCAAAAACUAUUGCAAUAAGUGAAAUGCGCCGUGCACGUAAAACGGGAUCGGCAAACAAGCAGCUGCCGGGAGCCUGCAGGCCGUGACUGAGACAGUGACUUUUGACCUGGAAGACAAACUUACCAUAAGAGACGUUGUGCUGGUGCGACAGAAUGCACCUGACACACAAAAAGACUGGUGGAGGCCAGAGGGGAGCACAGAUGGACAAUGAACAGGUAUGACGGACUCAUGACGGACUAUUGUGCUCCCAGACGACCUUAUGACUUAUUGCUAAGGGAAGGUCAUCCAGUGAGUCAUGACUCCAAAUUUCAGGUAAGAGAAAGGAUCCACAACUAGGGUUUUCUGGGGAUACAACCUGCAUGCUCAUGUGGAGAACUACAUAGCACGGUGAGAGGUUUUUAUAAAAAACAAUGUUCGAAAGUCCCUGGAACCAACCCCAGGAACUUUCCCUUUGAGAGGCCCCUUUUUGGAACAGGUGAUCGAUUUCAUCGACAUAAUACAAAAGUCCAAGGAAAGAGGUAUGUUUUGGCGGCCGUAUGCAGAUUUACGAAGUGGGUGGAGGCCACUCCGACCUGCCGUAAAUCAGCCAAGGUGGUCGCACAACUUCUGAACAGAGAAGUCAUCCCCCGUUUUGGAAUUCCAGAUCGGAUUUCAUCCGAUAACGGGAGGAAGUUGUUG
Long non-coding RNA from Melanotaenia boesemani (Boeseman's rainbowfish), 2354 nucleotides. RefSeq lists it as uncharacterized. The record is from RefSeq and is a predicted model, not a curated record. The transcript has 3 exons. Lineage: Eukaryota; Metazoa; Chordata; Actinopteri; Atheriniformes; Melanotaeniidae.